GCAGCGGCGGGGCGCAAGAUGGCGGCGGACCCGAGCGCCGCCUCUUCCGCCCCGUCGGGCGUUGCA
This 66-nucleotide microRNA precursor is filed under the name Ictidomys tridecemlineatus (thirteen-lined ground squirrel). RNAcentral describes it as "Spermophilus tridecemlineatus (thirteen-lined ground squirrel) mir-718 microRNA precursor family". It matches the Rfam family "mir-718 microRNA precursor family". Lineage: Eukaryota; Metazoa; Chordata; Mammalia; Rodentia; Sciuridae. The record is from Rfam by way of RNAcentral.